Molecule: ribosomal RNA, 254 nt
Filed under: uncultured bacterium
Lineage: Bacteria
Description: partial 16S ribosomal RNA
Rfam family: Bacterial small subunit ribosomal RNA
Source: RNAcentral
UACGGAGGGUGCGAGCGUUGUCCGGAAUCAUUGGGCGUAAAGGGCGCGUAGGUGGCCCGGUCAGUCUUUGGUGAAAGCGCGGGGCUCAACCCUGCGUCGGCCAGGGAUACUGCCGCGGCUGGAGUACUGCAGGGGAGACUGGAAUUCCUGGUGUAGCGGUGGAAUGCGCAGAUAUCAGGAGGAACACCGGUGGCGAAGGCGGGUCUCUGGGCAGUAACUGACGCUGAGGAGCGAAAGCGUGGGGAGCGAACAGG